Molecule: transfer RNA, 61 nt
Filed under: Propionibacteriaceae bacterium
Lineage: Bacteria; Bacillati; Actinomycetota; Actinomycetes; Propionibacteriales; Propionibacteriaceae
Description: tRNA-Pro
Rfam family: tRNA
About the family: Transfer RNA (tRNA) molecules are approximately 80 nucleotides in length. Their secondary structure includes four short double-helical elements and three loops (D, anti-codon, and T loops).
Source: RNAcentral
GUAGCGCAGCUUGGUAGCGCACUUCGUUCGGGACGAAGGGGCCGCAGGUUCGAAUCCUGUC